UAUUCAUCGUAAGCAUGAGAGGAGCGAGAGAAGAAGAAAAAAAUGUGAGAUGAAAAGAUAUAUCAAGAGGCAAUAGAACAUUUUACUUUGAACCCGAGUUAGAACCGUCUUGAUGCAUGUGCCAACAACUUUGAUCAGCCAUAAAACAAAUACGUCCUGAAUGCCUUCACAUGCCUCACAAGCAAAAAUAUUCGAAAAUGUAAAUAUCUAAGACAAUAAUACUUGGAGGUUAAUAGCUGGUUAUAUGUAUUAUGAGUAUAAAAUGAGUAAAAUAGAACUAGAAGCUGAAUAUAACACUUUUUCAGUUUUUUGGCCGCGCACAAAAAAAACCCUUCUAAGGUUCUAAAGCUGGCAUUUUAUAGUGUGGCAAAAAAAUAAUAAUAAUAAAAUAUCCGGUAAAUUUUUUAAUCCCAUUCACCGUAACCCACCUGUUCAAUGUCCACCAACUAGCAGGAUGAAAUAGCGGCGCAAUUGACAAUUCCCCUCGAACCCUAAGAGCUCUGGAUCUGAGCGGGUUGUGGGGAGCGCAUACCUCAGCAGCAGCCGGGGCAUGGGGUGAUGGGCGCGAGGUGUUGAGUGCGGCGGUGGCUCAGACGCUGGAGGCGGCGGGCGGGGUUCGUCUGCGCACACCUCUUGACGUCGGGCGCGUUCGUCACCUCUGCCGCCCACCGCCCACCGCGUCGUCCUCCCGGCCAUGCAAUCUCCAGCUUGUGCCACGGCUUGCAGUCCCAGACUCUCUCGAGGAGGUUUCCUGGGGCCUGGGGUCCGUCUCCCCUGGCCACUACUCCUCGUGUCCGGCGUUCUGAGUUUCUGUUACAGCACGCCAGCAGCAAUGUGGGCAAUACAAGGAUUUACACAUGGAUGAGGCCAUGAGGGGACUGGGGGGCACAAGUUGUAAGGUUUUGCAAUUGCAGCCGACAUAGAUGCGAUGCCAUUUUAUCUGACAUAGCAUGGAUAACACAAAAUUGAGAUGUCUAUUUACUCUUGUUACAAUACAAGUUGUUAACCACGGUUGUAGAGGCUUCACAUUAAGGUUUCAUGAGUGCUAGAAGUUUUCACCAAUGUAUACUGGUGUUUUAGUUUGGAGCUUGCUAAUCAUUGGAUUAUUUGGACCUUCCAGGAUUAGUAGAGAUAUUAGGGGGUGUUUAUAGCAAGUGAUGCAGUCGACGAAGUUUGAAGAGUCACCGCUUGGCUUGCAGCUGAAGCUUACCGUGGUGUGUUCUUGAUGAGUUGUGCCCGUUGCUGGUGGACAAUAGUGCUUGUAAGAUAGAGGCAGUGUUGUUUCUUCAGCCACAAAUGCGGCAUUAGAGAUAACUAAUGAUGUAUCAAAAAACACAAUUGCCUUGAAGUAGCAGGGGAAGGAGGAUGCUUAGACAAGGGAAGGUUGACACCAAGCGAAGCAAUGUAGAGACUACAACUCAGCCACUCAGGGGAGAGCAGUGUAUCAUUAUCUUGAGAGAAAACAAUGGGAAGAGCCCUCACACACACCGUGAGGAAAACAUAAACAACCCUGUCCAAAGCUUUGCACUACUCCGGCACAAGGGCCAUGAGAUUACUAGUUAAAUUUCCUUGAAACGCUGGCAACCAUCGGAUCAAAAAUUGGAAGGUGGAUGUGGCGCGCGUGGCUUUGCAGACGCAAGUCGCUCCACUCCCUCUUCCUCUCCUACUCCGGCUUUCCCACAGCGCCGCCGCUCGACGGGGGCAGACGGCAGAGCAGGCACCCCGCCGUGUGACCGGCUCGCCUUUGCGCCGGCGUCCCCACUUCUCAUCACGCCAUCGCCAGGGGGUCGGUCGCUAACUAUUCAGCUACCAUGGCGCGUCCGUUCUCGUCGCUGGCGCACUCCUCGUAUCGCCGCAGGAUCGUCGAGUGCAAGGCAGCGGCUUGCUCCUCGCGGCUCCCUUCCCGCGCUAGGCCGCCCGUCCGCCCCCGUAUCGCUGCCAGCUCCGACACCACCUCAGCAAAUGGAAUGGAUACUAGCAUCAUUACCAUUCAGACUAUGGCGUGGUGGGAGACCCUGAAUCAUAUGGCCUACAAAUUUGGGAGCCUUGGCAAGUCUGAUGGGAAGCUGGCCUUGAAGAUACUGAGUUCUAUAGUGGAGCGAUCAGGUUUAGACCGAAUUACCUACAUUUACUGUAUGGCUGUCCCAAUUCUCAUCCAGGCUCAAAUGCAUUCGCAAGCAAUGUCAGUGUUGAGGCGUCUUGCUGUGAUGGGCUUCUCCUGCACUGCUAUUUUUACCUCCCUCUUGCGGAUCAUUUCACGUUUUGAUUCCACCAAUCAUGUUGUAUUUGAACUCCUUGUCAAAGCUUAUGUCAAGGAAAGAAAAGUGCUAGACGCAGCUGUGGCAGUUCUCUUUAUGGAUGACUGUGGAUUUAAGGCUUCACCUAUUGCUUGCAAUACCAUCCUCAGGGCUCUUGUGGAGCAAGGGGAAUCAAAGUAUGUUUGGUUAUUCUUGAGAGAGAGUUUGGCCCAUAAUUUUCCUCUGGAUGUUACCACUUGCAAUAUUCUUCUGAAUUCCCUAUGCACCAAUGGAGAAUUUAGAAAGGCUGAAGAUAUGCUUCAGAAGAUGAAGACCUGUCGCCUAUCUAAUUCUGUCACUUAUAAUACAAUACUACAUUGGUAUGUUAAGAAGGGGAGAUUUAAGGCUGCCCUGUGUGUUCUAGAAGAUAUGGAGAGGGAUAGUAUACCGGCGGAUAUAUAUACCUAUAACAUCAUGAUAGAUAAAUUAUGUAGAAUAAAGAGGAGUGCGCGUGCUUUCCUUUUGCUCAAAAGAAUGAGGAAAGAUGACUUAAUACCUGAUGAAUGUACCUACAAUACUUUGAUCAAUGGGUUUUUUGGUGAAGGUAAGAUAAAUCAUGCUCACUAUGUCUUUAAUCAUAUGCUGAGACAAACUUUUGUUCCAAGUGUAGCUACUUACACUACAAUGAUUGAUGGGUACUGCCGAAACAGGAGAAUUGAUAAGGCCCUAAGUGUUCUGUCAGAAAUGCAAAUUACUGGUGUCAUGCCAAAUGAGCUAACUUAUAGUGCUUUGUUGAAUGGUUACUGCAAAGUUUCCAUGCUAGGACCCGCUCUACAUCUUAUGGAAGAUCUGAAAUCGAGAGGUAUAACCAUCAAUAAGACGAUGUGUACUAUUCUCAUAGAUGGUUUCUGUCAGGUGGGUGAGAUUUCCAAGGCUAAACAAAUUUUGAAGAGUAUGCUUGAGGAUGGAAUUGAUCCAGAUAUCGUCACUUAUUCAGCAUUGAUCAAUGGUAUGUGCAGGAUGGCUAAGAUUCAUGAAACAGAAGAAAUUUUGUCAAGGAUGCAGAAAAGUGGAAUUUUACCUAAUGAUGUGCUAUAUACAACUCUGAUUUCUUACUAUUGUAAGGCAAGGUAUGUCAAGGAAGCACUAAAGCAUUUUGUGGACAUUUAUCGAAGGGGGCUAGUUGCCAAUCCAGUUAUCCAUAAUGCAUUAUUAUGUGCUUUCUAUAGAGAGGGAAUGAUUACAGAGGCUGAACACUUCAGACAAUACAUGUCUAGGAUGAAGAUAUCAUUUGAUUCUGUCUCCUUUAACUGCAUAAUAGAUAGUUAUUGCCACAGAGGUAAUAUAGUUGAGGCAUUUACAGUUUAUGAUGCUAUGGUUAGAUAUGGCCAUUCUCCAAAUGUUUGCACAUAUCAGAAUUUGCUUAGAGGAUUAUGUCAAGGAGGCCACUUGGUACAAGCAAAGCAGUUUAUGUUCUGUCUUCUUGAUAUACCUUCUGCUAUUGAUGAGAAAACUUUCAAUGCACUGCUUCUUGGGAUUUGCAAAUAUGGAACUCUAGAUGAAGCUUUGGAUCUAUGUGAGAAAAUGGUCAAAAAUAACUGUUUACCUGACAUCCAUACCUACACCAUUCUUCUCAGUGGUUUUUGCAGGAAAGGUAAGAUUUUGCCUGCGUUAAUCAUGUUGCAGAUGAUGUUGGACAAAGGAGUAGUCCCUGAUACUGUUGCAUAUACCUGCUUGCUGAAUGGGUUGAUCAAUGAAGGCCAAGUGAAGGCUGCUUCUUAUGUUUUCCAGGAGAUCAUAUGCAAGGAAGGCCUGUAUGCAGAUUGUAUUGCCUAUAAUUCAUUGAUGAAUGGGUACCUCAAGGGUGGAAACAUAAAUACUAUAAAAAGGAUGAUGUCUGAUAUGUAUCAGAGUGAGGUUUAUCCAAACUCUGCUAGCUAUAACAUACUUAUGCAUGGGUAUGUCAAGGGGGGACAAUUUUCAAAGUCCUUAUAUCUGUACAAAUAUAUGGUGAGGAAAGGAAUCAGGCCAGACAAUGUUACAUAUCGCUUGCUCAUUCUUGGGCUUUCUGAGUGUGGGUUGAUUGACAUUGCAGUGAAGUUCUUGGAGAAGAUGGUCUUAGAAGGCAUUUUCCCUGAUAGGUUAGUUUUCGAUAUACUGAUUACAGCUUUCAGUGAGAAAUCCAAGAUGCAUAAUGCACUACAACUUUUCAAUUGUAUGAAGUGGUUGCGUAUGUCACCCAGCAGUAAAACUUAUAGUGCCAUGAUAAAUGGAUUGAUCAGAAAAAAUUACCUGGACCAGAGUCAUGAAGUUUUACGUGAGAUGUUACAAGUGGGGCUUCAACCAAACCAUACACACUAUAUUGCAUUGGUCAAUGCAAAAUGUCGGGUUGGUAAGAUUGAUAGAGCGUUCAGGCUAAAAGAAGAAAUGAAAGCUCUUGGCAUUGUGCCUGCUGACGUUGCUGAGAGUUCAAUUAUUAGAGGACUUUGUAAAUGUGGAAAACUUGAGGAGGCAGUCAUAGUUUUCAGUACUAUGAUGCGUUCAGGAAUGGUGCCAACUGUUGCUACUUUCACUACUCUAAUGCAUUGUCUUUGCAAAGAAUCCAAGAUUGCUGACGCUUUGCACUUGAAGAGGUUGAUGGAGUCGUGUAGACUGAAGGUUGAUGUCGUCAGUUAUAAUGUUCUAAUUACUGGUUUAUGCAAAGACAAGCGUAUCUCUGAUGCACUAGAUCUUUAUGAAGAGAUGAAAUCUAAGGGACUUUGGCCGAAUGUUACUACCUAUAUCACACUCACUGGAGCUAUGUAUUCGACAGGGAUAAUGCAGAAUGGAGAGGAACUACUGGAGGAUAUAGAAGAAAGGGGUCUUAUUCCAGUGUAUGUGCAGCUUGAAAAUCUUGAAAGACAGAUGGAGGAUGCAAUUAGAAGGUUAAACAUGAUUAGAAACUGCAGAAAGGAAGUGCCUUUUAGAGGGGUUGAGCUACUACCUGUAGAUCCUGAACCCGUGUGUAAUGCUGCUAGCGAUUGUAAUCCCACUGAAACUCGGCAACGUAAAGGAAUUUGAGCAUUUGACCAAUAGGGUUGGUACAAAACUAUUGGUACCUUUUCUGAGUAGUGCUUGUGGUGCCUUACAUUGUUGUGUUCCUCCAUGAGGGAUCCAUGGAUCCAUCUCUAGAAAUACAAAAUUACCCUGGGAGGAAGAGGAACCUCACAUCACAUAUGUUUCAGUGGAUCCUGGGGACAGGUAAAUGGGAUUAUGAGUGCUGAUUCAUGAUGUUAGGUAUGAUAUGCAUAAGUUACAGCAGGCAUUCACAGUGGAUCUUUUAUCUGCAAUGAUUGGCUGGAGUGAGCAUUGAGGAAUAUUAAUGACCAUAUCUCCUAAAAUCCAACUGUUAUAGCUGCAGUCCUGCAAAGUUGGGUGUUACCAGAUUAAUUGCUCACUUGCUUCAUGAUUCUUUUAUGGGCAUUCCUCACACCGUUCACUUAUUUGUUGCACAUGAGAGCACACACUUGACAUGAGAGGAAGAUGGUGGCAGAGGAGGUGCCAAGAGAGAGAGAGCAAUGGAUAAUGGGACCACAAUGUCCCUAUGUCUACUCCAGUGAUGUUGACAUAUGGGAUAGAGGAGGUCAUGAGGUGAAUGCUGCAUGUGUUCUGAUGAUGAUUUCAGGACAUUCUGGCAUGGAUCCGGCAUGGACUUAAGCACUCAGCUUAUGAGCAUUGUCAUGAGUAUUAUGAGAUACUAGAUGGCAACUUGAUCCAUUGUGUGCAGAAGAGUGUGAUGGAGUGGAUUACUCUGGUCACCUCCAAACUGGGGAUGCUGAGUUGUUGAUGCCAGAAUGCCGCAACUCUGAUGUGAAGCUGAGAUUCACCAGCCUUUCACAAGUGUUGAAGGUGAUAGCAAUCCACGAUUGCAAGCUCUGUGGCUAGGUCUUAACAUCCAGCAAAGGAUUGGCAUGCCAUGCCGCAAGGAAGUUCCGCAAAGUUCCUGUUCAUGAAAAGGUUGCAGCAUCACCCAACUCUGCAGUGUCUCAACCGAAAGCAGCUGCUUGAAGUGGCCAAGUGGGUAGCCAGUUGUUCUGUCUCAACCUUUCAGGUUUCUACAGGAACUACAGCAGCAGGAGUCCAAAGUCUGAACUGACCAAAAGAGGCUAUCGGUGUGAUCCAGUGCUGCCAUGAUUGUCACAGUUUCUGUAUCAGUCCGUUGGGAAAAAAAAAACUAUAUAGCUUAGCUCCUAAUGUGAAGGAUAUUGAUGUCAUGAUGCCCUUUGGUAGAUUUGCUUAGUAGUAGUACCCUGGCAUUACAAAUGGUCAGUGUUCUUACAUGUAGCACUACAGUUCUGUUCCACAAUACUGAACUGUGUUCAGUGCCAGCGAAUUGGGGCCAUGGUCUCAUUUUUCAUUGUACCCUGGUGCAUAGCAUUAGCACUUUAGCAGGCUUGUUUCAGGUUGUUGCAAACUUGCAAAGCAUUUUUGCCUGACAAAGAUGGAGAAUCAGAUAAUUCCAUGAA
Molecule: RNA transcript, 6742 nt
Organism: Sorghum bicolor (sorghum)
Lineage: Eukaryota; Viridiplantae; Streptophyta; Magnoliopsida; Poales; Poaceae
Gene name: presenilin-like protein At2g29900
Exons: 8
Source: RefSeq, a predicted model, not a curated record